UCCGGACAAGGUAGUCCAAGUGGAAGGACGGGCUUGGGUUGCUAAAACAAUCCGGGUUCGAUCCCCCCCAUACGGAAACUACUCUGCCUCGUCUGGACACUAAAGCGGGUACUGGGCCUUCGGGCCCAGGGAAAAACCUCCCUGGUGAAGCUGGCCUGCUGCCUGACCGGGCCCAGGGGAAUGAUCCGCGUAAGCGGGGAACCCCUGGAUUACAAAAAAAAAAAAAAAAAAAAAAAAAAAAAAAAAAAAAAACAUAUGAUAAAGACAAAUGUUUCAAUUUUGUAGAUAAAGAAAUAAGAACAAGCAUCACCUGGAUUUAACUUUACGUAUUAUAUAUAAAUAUGAGUAUUAGGCAUGG
RNAcentral lists this long non-coding RNA (358 nucleotides) under Brassica napus (rape). RNAcentral's name for it is "long non-coding RNA (BNAP_LNC014408)". The record is from RNAcentral. Lineage: Eukaryota; Viridiplantae; Streptophyta; Magnoliopsida; Brassicales; Brassicaceae.